This 77-nucleotide transfer RNA is filed under the name Brevundimonas sp. AAP58. RNAcentral describes it as "tRNA-Pro". It matches the Rfam family "tRNA". From Rfam's summary of the family: Transfer RNA (tRNA) molecules are approximately 80 nucleotides in length. Their secondary structure includes four short double-helical elements and three loops (D, anti-codon, and T loops). Further hydrogen bonds mediate the characteristic L-shaped molecular structure. tRNAs have two regions of fundamental functional importance: the anti-codon, which is responsible for specific mRNA codon recognition, and the 3' end, to which the tRNAs corresponding amino acid is attached (by aminoacyl-tRNA synthetases). tRNAs cope with the degeneracy of the genetic code in two manners: having more than one tRNA (with a specific anti-codon) for a particular amino acid; and 'wobble' base-pairing, i.e. permitting non-standard base-pairing at the 3rd anti-codon position. RNAcentral also lists the same sequence under 4 other names. Lineage: Bacteria; Pseudomonadati; Pseudomonadota; Alphaproteobacteria; Caulobacterales; Caulobacteraceae. The record is from RNAcentral.
CGGAGUGUAGCGCAGCCUGGUAGCGCAUCUGCUUUGGGAGCAGAGGGUCGCAGGUUCGAAUCCUGCCACUCCGACCA